This 279-nucleotide ribosomal RNA is filed under the name uncultured bacterium. RNAcentral's name for it is "partial 16S ribosomal RNA". It matches the Rfam family "Bacterial small subunit ribosomal RNA", at positions 506 to 784 of the family's 1533-position model. The record is from RNAcentral.
UGCCAGCAGCCGCGGUAAUACGUAGGGAGCGAGCGUUGUUUGGAUUUACUGGGCGUAAAGAGCAUGUAGGUGGGCAUGCAAGUCGGCUGUGAAAUCCUCUGGCUCAACCAGAGAACUGCAGCCGAAACUGCAUGCCUUGAGUCCAUCAGAGGGAAUCGGAAUCGAGAGUGUAGCGGUGAAAUGCGUAGAUAUUCUCGAGAACACCAGUGGCGAAGGCGACACCCUGGACCAAUACUGACACUGAGGUGCGAAAGCGUGGGGAGCUAACAGGAUUAGAUA